UACGUAGGGUGCAAGCGUUUGUCCGGAAUUAUUGGGCGUAAAGAGCUCGUAGGCGGUGUGUCGCGUCGGCCGUGAAAACCUGCAGCUUAACUGUGGGCUUGCGGUCGAUACGGGCAUCACUGGAGUGUGGUAGGGGAGACUGGAAUUCCUGGUGUAGCGGUGAAAUGCGCAGAUAUCAGGAGGAACACCGGUGCGGAAGGCGGGUCUCUGGGCCACUACUGACGCUGAGAAGCGAAAGCAUGGGGAGCGAACAGG
RNAcentral lists this ribosomal RNA (255 nucleotides) under uncultured bacterium. RNAcentral describes it as "partial 16S ribosomal RNA". It matches the Rfam family "Bacterial small subunit ribosomal RNA", at positions 524 to 776 of the family's 1533-position model. The record is from RNAcentral.